GAUAAAAAUGACGGGAUAGUAAUAUUAAAUCCAUUGAUGAUUAAGACAAAAAAGAUCCUGAAAUCGGAGUGAAGGCAACAACAACCUAAAAACACCAGAUGCACACUGAACUGUGGAACUUGUGUCCAAAGAAUUUGGGAUAUAAGUCCAUGUCUGCUUGGUUGAAUUAAAUGAGACCAGGAUUCCAACAAAAUUACGAGAGUUGGAAAAGAAUAUAACUAACACUGACAAGUGACAGCUAAUUGGAGUUGCACACAUUAUCCUGUGGAAAGUUUGAUUUCUUGGUGGAGACCCAACCAUUUGUGAAGAGUUCAGGAGACUUCCAAGAUGACUUUGCUGUUGUUCAUCAAAUAAUUUCUGCUGACAAAUUCCAUUCCGAACCUCAAGAAUGUGUUAGCCCUAUAUUAGGAACACAUUGUCAAGUUAGCUAUCAACCCCAUCUCUUUCUCAAGACUUUUGUUUAAUCAUAAUAUAUGUAGUUUAAAAAUUUCUUAUUAUUACUUUUAUAAAUGUUAUACAGUAGGAGAUGACCACCAGAAUACAUCUAUAAAUUUUUAAGCAGUGUGGAUUUUUCUGUUAUCCAUGUAUCCAAUAUUACUUUGCUGUAUAAUAAUUCAAACUAUAAGAUUUUAUUGUUUUGCUUUCAUACUAGAAUUUACAAGUGUAAUUAACCACAGUAGGAUGAC
Long non-coding RNA from Saccostrea echinata, 686 nucleotides. RefSeq lists it as uncharacterized. The transcript has 3 exons. NCBI's taxonomy places the organism in Eukaryota, Metazoa, Mollusca, Bivalvia, Ostreida, Ostreidae. The record is from RefSeq and is a predicted model, not a curated record.